CGUCAUGGACACGAGUGCACUGUUGACAAAGCUUCCUGUUAGAGCAGGGUGGUUAGGGCGGGUCUGCAAGGGGAGUACGGAUGGAAUAAAACAAAAGGGGGACGCCGUGUUUGGUGACACACAAUGAGAUGGACCGGGCCGUCCGAGGUAUUUCUGUCUGUUUUCCACAUGUAGCGGAUGAGUGAUUGAGCGGCGCCUCAGUCAUAGCUGGACUCCUGCCCUAAACCCUCCAGGCUGCUGCAAGCUCCUCCGUGAGCUGCUUGUCUGCCUCGCUUUACUCCGACCUGAACUCAACAGCGCCCACGACACAGCUUGGCCUUUAACCUUUCACUGUGGAGUAGUGUCCUCAGAGCCCCGCCCAGUGCCACGCCUUCCUCCAUUGACACAGCUGUAUCUUAUCGUCCCAUUAAACCAGCUGACAUAAAUAGUCCGUCUUUUCUCGCCUCAGCUGUCAGUCCGGCCGUUAGGCCACCCUGGUACCUCGGCUCCGUGAGUUAUUCUGUUGCAGUCCUUGUGAUCCUGCGUUAACCCCUUGUAUUUCACCCUUACCAUCCAGCGUCGAACCUCGGUGAUUCACAUGGCCGAAGAGGUAGCCAGUUAGUUCCGCGGAGAUCAGCUGAGCACCUACAAACUCCUGCGUUGAGCCUCGGGCGUCACGCAGUGGAGGUCCUCUGCCUGUCACUCACCAUUGACUUGUGUUUUUGUGUUGCCUUUGUUUUUUCUCUGCCGGAGAAAAUAAAUAACCCCUGUUGAAGAAAGAAACCUUGGUGGUCCUGCGUGUUGCAUCUGGGUCCGUUUGCACUUCCUAACAGAACGGACUGACCAAAAAUAAUGGAUCCAGUAGCCGCUAUAGGAUCUCCCCCGGCUGACCCCGUGCAGAAGACGAUCAUCAACCAAGGCAUUCUUUUGGGACAACAUCAUCUGCUGCAUGAUCUACGAGGCUCACAACAAACCAUGGGAUCGCAGAUGGCCGAGAUCAGCAGCAUGGUGCAGGGACUCGCUCCGGCCCGCCCCUCCUCCCAAGAACCAACGGCGGAGUCUUUUGUUCCGUUUCCUGAACCUUUCCAUGGAGACAUGAAGGGAUGCCGAGGUUUCCUUCUCCAGGCCACGUUUGUGUUUAAUCAGCGGCCCUGCGAGUAUGCAUCGGACAAAUCUAGGAUUGCCUCUCUGACCGGAUUGUUACGUGGGCGGGCCCUUGACUGGGCCCAGGCCUGGUUUAAUCAGAACCCGCCGGAUACAGUUUCGUUUGGACAAUUCUAGGAGGCAUUUAAGAGAGCUUUUGACCACCCUAUGCACACUCAGCAUGCUGUGCAGCGCCUACUUCGCUCCAGGGCUCCACCAGCGCUGCCGAACAUUCAAUAGACUUUCGCAUGUUGGCCGCAGAGUGUGGUUGGGAGGAGAGAGCGCUGAGAGGGGUUUACCUAAACAGCCUGGCAGAUGGAUUAAAGGACCAGCUAGCCAUUCUGGGAGAGGCUCAGACACUCGAGGACCUCAUUGCCCUUACCAUCCGUCUGGAUGCUCGGAUGCGUGAGUGUCGGAGAGAACGGAGCUACAGGGUUCCAGGACCAGUCCAUCAGCGGAACGCAAAGCCAUGGAGACCUACAUUACCGACUCCCUCGCUGCAGAGAUUAUCCGUCCGUCAUCCUCCCCGGUGGGAGCGGGGUUCUUCUUUGUGGCCAAGAAGGACAAGAGUCUCCGCCCGUGUACAGACUACCGAGGGCUGAACCAAACACAACACGGAACAGGUACCAACUACCACUGCUGACCUCCGCCUUUGAGUCCCUACCCGGCGCCACAAUUUUCGCAAAGUUGACCUCCGCAAUGCUUACCACAGCGGAUACGAGAGGGGGAUGAGUGGAAAACCGCAUUCAACACCCCGCUGGGGCACUUCGAAUACUUGGUUAUGCCAUUCGGACUUACCAAUGCCCCAGCCGUUUUCCAGGCCUUGGUGAACGACGUGCUAAGGGAUUUCCUCAACAGAUUUGUGUUCGUCUACAUCGACGACAUCCUCAUUUACUCCACGAAUCUACAGGAACAUUGUCACCAUGUCCGUCAGGUCCUCCAGCGCUUACUGGAGAACCAACUUUACGUCACGCCGGAGAAAUGCGAAUUUCAUGUCACCUCAGUACAAUUUCUGGGUUUUAUCAUUGAGGAGGGGCAGAUUCGUAAAGAUCCAGCAAAGGUUCAGGCAGUGACCGAAUGGCCAAUCCCUUCUAACCGGAAGAAGCUACAGCAGUUCCUUGGCUUUGAAAAUUUCUACCGCCGGUUCAUUUGAAAUUCUAGCCAAACGGCGUUGCCCCUAACUCGAC
Molecule: long non-coding RNA, 2309 nt
Organism: Gasterosteus aculeatus aculeatus (three-spined stickleback)
Lineage: Eukaryota; Metazoa; Chordata; Actinopteri; Perciformes; Gasterosteidae
Source: Ensembl